UAGGGAAUCUUCGGCAAUGGGGGGAACCCUGACCGAGCAACGCCGCGUGAGUGAAGAAGGUUUUCGGAUCGUAAAGCUCUGUUGUUAAGGAAGAACGAGUGUGAGAAUGGAAAGUUCAUGCUGUGACGGUACUUAACCAGAAAGGGACGGCUAACUACGUGCCAGCAGCCGCGGUAAUACGUAGGUCCCGAGCGUUGUCCGGAUUUAUUGGGCGUAAAGCGCGCGUAGGCGGUUUUUUAAGUCUGAAGUUAAAGGCAGUGGCUCAACCAUUGUAGGCUUUGGAAACUGUUUAACUUGAGUGCAGAAGGGGAGAGUGGAAUUCCAUGUGUAGCGGUGAAAUGCGUAGAUAUAUGGAGGAACACCGGUGGCGAAAGCGGCUCUCUGGUCUGUAACUGACGCUGAGGCUCGAAAGCGUGGGGAGCGAACAGG
RNAcentral lists this ribosomal RNA (429 nucleotides) under Bacteroidota bacterium. RNAcentral describes it as "Bacteroidetes bacterium partial 16S ribosomal RNA". It matches the Rfam family "Bacterial small subunit ribosomal RNA", at positions 355 to 776 of the family's 1533-position model. The record is from RNAcentral. Lineage: Bacteria; Pseudomonadati; Bacteroidota.